UUGUUAUGACUUUUGGAUAGGUUUCUUUGUACUGCUUGGUUUGAAUAAGCAAGUGUCGUCUCUCUGUUUGCAUCUAUUUAUUUGAGCAAGGAUAUGCUUGCUAUAUUGUACAAGUAAAGAGAAUUACUUCUAUCAGUUAAAUAUUUGUCUUGCUUAAUUUGAGUAUGGUGAUCAGCAUGGACUUCCAUUGAAUCCGGCGAGCAUGUUAUGAAUGGGCUGGGACUGCUCAUUUUAGUUGUCUGAUCAACUUCAAAAGCUUCAACAUGCACUUCUUCAAACCUCAGAAAGUACCAACAAAGCAAGCACUCUAUCUGUUCUUUAGGAAUCAUGAUCACUCCUUAGUACAGUCACAGCAUCCCCACUCAUUGUAGUUGUUCUGUAUGAAAGGCG
This 390-nucleotide long non-coding RNA is filed under the name Elaeis guineensis (African oil palm). RNAcentral's name for it is "long non-coding RNA (EGUI_LNC068603)". Lineage: Eukaryota; Viridiplantae; Streptophyta; Magnoliopsida; Arecales; Arecaceae. The record is from RNAcentral.